CAGUCGCCACGGGAAUACGUAGGGUGCAAGCGUUAAUCGGAAUUACUGGGCGUAAAGCGUGCACAGGCGGUUAUAUAAGACAGAUGUGAAAUCCCCGGGCUCAACCUGGGACCUGCAUUUGUGACUGUAUAGCUAGAGUACGGUAGAGGGGGAUGGAAUUCCACGUGUAGCAGUGAAAUGCGUAGAUAUGCGGAGGAACACCGAUGGCGAAGGCAAUCCCCUGGACCUGUACUGACGCUCAUGCACGAAAGCGUGGGGAGCAAACAGGAUUAGAUACCCGGGUAGUCCCUGUCUCUUAUAC
This 301-nucleotide ribosomal RNA is filed under the name uncultured bacterium. RNAcentral's name for it is "partial 16S ribosomal RNA". It matches the Rfam family "Bacterial small subunit ribosomal RNA", at positions 509 to 807 of the family's 1533-position model. The record is from RNAcentral.